GGCAAUGGCCAUAUGGCCCUGAAAGCACCUGAUCUCAUCUGAUCUCAGAAGCUAAGCAGGGUCGGGCCUGGUUAGUACUUGGAUGGGAGAACUCCUGGGAAUGCCAGGUGCUGUAGGCU
Loxodonta africana (African savanna elephant) is the source of this 119-nucleotide ribosomal RNA. Lineage: Eukaryota; Metazoa; Chordata; Mammalia; Proboscidea; Elephantidae. The record is from Ensembl.